Molecule: ribosomal RNA, 595 nt
Filed under: uncultured fungus
Lineage: Eukaryota; Fungi
Description: LSU rRNA
Rfam family: Eukaryotic large subunit ribosomal RNA
Source: RNAcentral
ACCCGCUGAACUUAAGCAUAUCAAUAAGCGGAGGAAAAGAAACCAACAGGGAUUGCCCUAGUAACGGCGAGUGAAGCGGCAACAGCUCAAAUUUGAAAUCUGGCGCAAGCCCGAGUUGUAAUUUGUAGAGGAUGCUUCGGCGUCGGCCCCGAUCUAAGUUCCUUGGAACAGGACGUCCUAGAGGGUGAGAACCCCGUCUUCGAUUGGGUCGCCGUCGCCAUGUGAAGCUCCUUCGACGAGUCGAGUUGUUUGGGAAUGCAGCUCUAAGCGGGAGGUAAAUUUCUUCUAAAGCUAAAUAACGGCCAGAGACCGAUAGCGCACAAGUAGAGUGAUCGAAAGAUGAAAAGCACUUUGGAAAGAGAGUUAAAAAGUACGUGAAAUUGUUGAAAGGGAAGCUCAAGCUGCCAGACUUGGCCGCGCCUCUUCGGUGGCGCGGGCAGGCCAGCAUCAGUUCGGGCCGCCUGAUAAAGACCUUUGGAAUGUAGCUCCCUCGGGAGUGUUAUAGCCUUGGGUGUAAUGGGGUGAGCCUGGACUGAGGAUCGCGUUCGCUAGGAUGCUGGCGUAAUGGCAGUUUGCGACCCGUCUUGAAACACGG